UUCUUCUACUGGCUGAUUUUUUGUGAGAUACAGCAGUAUUUUGUGUAUUUCAUCUCUGGAGAAACAGUAUCUCAAUAUAAUACUCUGAGGAGGGAUUUCAUCAAGAUUGAAAGGAAAAAAGGUAUAAGGAACUAGAAGCUGAUAUCAAUAUUGAUUUUGCAGUGAUUUGGUCACAGCAACAGUUGCAACAGUAUCGGCGGUGGCAGCUACCUCUAUAACAAUUAUUUCAUCAUCCACCAAUUGAGCGGUAGUAAGGACAAGGACAGAGUAGGUCUACUAAUCAUCUGAUAAAAAUCAUCAUAUCAAAUCACCCCAGCUGCUACUCCUAUAUUUGAGUGUACCAAUUAAUGUGACCCGGGUUACAGUUGAACAUGGUUUAUUCAAACAUGAACAUGGUUUUAAAAAAGUGGGUCUUGUAGAUAAACCAUGCUCAGUUUUUCACACUAGUAAUAAGCAAUGGCAUGGUUUAGAGCAGAACUCUUUUGAAAACCAUGUUCAGUUUUUGUUGGAGCCCUCAGCUAUCUAUUACAGACUAGCACACCGCACAUAUAUACCUCAGCUGCCUACAUGCUAAUACAACUACUUAGACAUCCC
This 594-nucleotide small RNA is filed under the name Histoplasma capsulatum var. duboisii H88. RNAcentral's name for it is "Histoplasma capsulatum H88 hypothetical RNA". The record is from RNAcentral. Lineage: Eukaryota; Fungi; Ascomycota; Eurotiomycetes; Onygenales; Ajellomycetaceae.